AGGGUUUGAUCCUGGCUCAGAACGAACGCUGGCGGCGUGGCUAAGACAUGCAAGUCGAACGGACUAUGUAAUUGAGUAAUCGAGCACAUAGUUAGUGGCGAAAGGGUUAGUAAUGGCUAGGUAACGUACCCCCUGCUCUGGGAUAGUUAUCCGAAAGGAUAAGUAAUACCAGAUAAUAUCGUAAAUCGAUAGGUUUACGAUCAAAGAUUUAUCGGGAGGGGAGCGGCCUAGUUCCCAUCAGCUUGUUGGUGAGGUAAUGGCUCACCAAGGCAAUGACGGGUAGCGGGACUGAGAGGUUGGCCCGCAACAUCGGGACUGAGACACUGCCCGGACCUCCACGGAGGGCUGCAGUAACGAAUAUUGUGCAAUGGGCGAAAGCCUGACACAGCGACGCCGCGUGUAGGAGGAAGUCCCUCGGGAUGUAAACUACUGUCAGGGUAAAGAAAGUCUGUUUCGGCAGAUUGAUCUAACCCGGAGGAAGUCACGGCUAACUUCGUGCCAGCAGCCGCGGUAAGACGAAGGUGGCAAGCGUUGUUCGGUAUUACUGGGCUUAAAGCGUGUGUAGGCGGAUAAAUUAGCGUUUUGUGAAAUCCCUCGGCUUAACCGAGGAAUUGCUUGACGAACUGUUUAUCUUGAGGCAAGUAGGGGUGCACGGAACUCUUGGUGGAGCGGUGGAAUGCGUAGAUAUCAAGAGGAACGCCAGUGGUGAAGACGGUGCACUGGGCUUGUUCUGACGCUGAGACACGAAAGCGUGGGGAGCAAACAGGAUUAGAUACCCUGGUAGUCCACGCUGUAAACGAUGCCUACUAGGUCGCGGAGGUUCUGACACCGUCGCGGCUGGAGCGAAAGUUUUAAGUAGGCCGCCUGGGGAGUACGGUCGCAAGGCUAAAACUCAAAGGAAUUGACGGGGGCUCACACAAGCGGUGGAGCAUGUGGAUUAAUUCGAAAACGCGCAGAACCUUACCUGGGUUUGACAUGGUUGGAUGCCCUCUUGGAAACAGGAGUAAGCUGCCCUUCGGGGUGAAACUUUCACAGGUGCUGCAUGGCUGUCGUCAGCUCGUGUCGUGAGAUGUUGGGUUGUGUCCUUUAACGAGCGAAACCCUUACCGUUAGUUGCCAUCAGGUUAUGCUGGGGACUCUAGCGGGACUGCCGGUGUUAAACCGGAGGAAGGCGGGGAUGACGUCAAGUCAUCAUGGCCUUUAUGCCCAGGGCUUCACAC
RNAcentral lists this ribosomal RNA (1219 nucleotides) under metagenome. RNAcentral's name for it is "bacterial SSU rRNA". It matches the Rfam family "Bacterial small subunit ribosomal RNA", at positions 8 to 1221 of the family's 1533-position model. The record is from RNAcentral.